GCAGGCCUAACACAUGCAAGUCGAGGGGUAGAACACUUCGGUGUUUGAGACCGGCGCACGGGUGCGUAACGCGUAUGCAAUCUACCUUUUACAGGGGAAUAGCCCAGAGAAAUUUGGAUUAAUGCCCCAUAGUAUAUAUGAGUCGCAUGAUUUAUAUAUUAAAGUUCCAACGGUAAAAGAUGAGCAUGCGUCCCAUUAGUUAGUUGGUAAGGUAACGGCUUACCAAGACUAUGAUGGGUAGGGGUCCUGAGAGGGAGAUCCCCCACACUGGUACUGAGACACGGACCAGACUCCUACGGGAGGCAGCAGUGAGGAAUAUUGGACAAUGGGCGCAAGCUGAUCCAGCCAUGCCGCGUGCAGGAAGACGCAUCUAUGGUGUGUAAACUGCUUUUGUACGGGAAGAAACACUCCCUCGUGAGGGAGCUUGACGGUACCGUAAGAAUAAGGAUCGGCUAACUCCG
Molecule: ribosomal RNA, 461 nt
Filed under: uncultured eubacterium WJGRT-72
Lineage: Bacteria
Description: bacterial SSU rRNA
Rfam family: Bacterial small subunit ribosomal RNA
Source: RNAcentral